GUGGGACUUGUAGACCAGAGAGGAGGAACGAGUGGUGUCUUGAUAUGUGGUGGGACAAGAGAAGCCCCAUGAUGUCCCUAGAAUCACAUCAUGUAAAUUCUCUUCUGCUCCAUUUCUGCAUAGAUCUUGUCUUCACACCAUUUAUUUCUUCAAAAGUUAUUUACUGAGUACCUACUAUGUGCCAGGCAGCAUGCUAGCGGCUUAGGACACAUCUGUGAACAAAACAGACAGAAGCCCCUGAUCUUGUGAGACUUACAUUCUAGAAGGGAGUGGCAGAGAACAAACAGUAGAUAUUAUAAAUGAUAAAUGGAUAAAUUAAAUAGUCUUUUAGAUGAUGAUAAAUGAUACAGAAAACAACAGAUCAGGGUAAGAAAGAUUAGGAAUGCUGAGAAGCAGGUCUUCGCAGGUGGAAUAGAGUGUUCAGGGGGGACUCACUGAGAAGGUGGCAUUUGAAUGAAGACUUGCAGGUAAUAAGGGAAAAAGCCACUCAGAUUUUUGGAAGAAGACCAAUCCACAAAGAUAGAUGAGCCAAGGUAAAGGCUUUAAUGUAGGAACAUGUGUAGAAUAUUUGGAGCAGAGUACAAGGCCAGUGAAGCAGGAGGAGAAGACUAAAAGGUGAAGUCAGAGAUGGAACCAGGAGUUAAACCACGUAGUGACUUGUCAGUCAUUGUUUGGACUCUCACUUUCCUUCUGAUUGAAAUGGGGAGGCAUUGCAGGACCUUAACCAGAGGACAGAAAUGGUAUGGCUGAUAUUUUAACUAAUCACUUUGGUUGCACUGUUGAGAAUAGGCAGUCAGGGAGCAGGAGAGAGAGGGAGAUUGUUAGGAGGCAAUGUCAAUAACCAAGGCAGGGACGGUGGUAGCGUGGAACAGUGGAGAAGUGGUCAUAGUCUGGAUACAGGACUUCCUGAUGUAAUAGAUACGGAAUACAAGAGAAAGAGAAGUCACGAAUGACUUCAAUGUCUUUGGUGUAAUUAAGUGGAAGAUUGGAGUUGUCAUCAACUGAGAUGUGAAAGACUGAAGAAGCAGCAGAACGGGAGGUGGACCAAGAGCUCAACGCUGGUGCCAGGAGCUGUGUUAGGCACGAUGAAGACACAAAAAGAAAAGAACACCCUAGAAGCUCAUGGAGGAGAGUUGCUGGGACCAACGAUAGCCAGCUUAAAAGAACAACAAUAACAAGAGGACAUUGAUGGAAUUUACUGCGAGGAAGCGGAAGAGUUUCCAGAAUCAAAGACAAGACUGAAGACCCAUGCAGGGCAGGCCAAGGAGUGAGGCACUCCAGGAACGUAGUGACGGGAAGCCUCGUCCAAGCCCAGCCCUGGAGGGCUUGAAUUCUUCGGCUUACUCCAGUCUUCAUUUAUCCCAACACUGGGAUACAAGGUUUCCGAGGCCACUUUUUUCUAUGAAAUUCUCCACGUUUUUUGACUUAAAGAAAAACUUUCAUCUUUCAGUAAAGAAUCCAUCCAAAUUUGAAGAAGAGGAUUAAAAAGUUCAGAUGUUAUUCCAAACGGAUGUUAAAAAAACAGCCAAACUAUCAGAAAUGAAGGACGGCAAGCAAUUAUUUGAAGCAGCUGGGUUACAAGAAGGACUUCUCACAUGUUAUUACACGCAAAGGAAUUAUGGAUUAUGGAAAGAUGAGCAAUAUAAUUAUGCUCAUGGAGUGUCACAUUAAUUUUUAAGAAAUCCAGACAAUCAGCUUGUCAUGAAAGACUGUUGGGAUUUCACUUGAGAUUGCACUGAAUUUAUAGAUUAAUUUGGAAAAAUUCGCAUUUUUUUACAACAUUGAGUCUUCCUAUCUAGCAACAUGAUAUAGAUCUCCAUUUAUUCAACACGGACACCUGCCACAGCAUGGCUUGACAAGCAGUGAUUGGGUCUGCACCCGGGGUCUGAACCGGUGAACCCCAGGCCUCUGAAAUGGGACAUGCGAACUUAACAGCUGUGCCACCGGACCAGCCCCAACAAUAUCUUCUGAGUGCCAAUACAUGCAGGAAACUAAGAGAGAUUUGAGAGGAACCAAGAGUGGAGAGGAAGACUGGCCCUGAGCUAACAUCUGUGCCUAUCCUCCUCCACUUUAUAUGUGGGACGCCUACCACAGCAUGGCUUGCCAAGCAGUGCCAUGUCCGCACCCGGGAUCCGAACUGCUGAACCCUGGGCCACCAAAGUGGAACGUGCGCAUCCAACUGCUGUGCCACCAGACUGGCCCCACUAUGGACAUUUCUUAUACCUAUAUUUGAAUAUACACAUAUCUGCAUUUCUCUUGGUUAUAUAAUUUGGAAUAGAAUUGUUGGACCCAGGGCAUUUUUGCCAAUUUUAAUUUCAAUAGAUACUGCUAAUCA
Equus caballus (horse) is the source of this 2335-nucleotide long non-coding RNA. The record is from Ensembl. NCBI's taxonomy places the organism in Eukaryota, Metazoa, Chordata, Mammalia, Perissodactyla, Equidae.